RNAcentral lists this ribosomal RNA (253 nucleotides) under uncultured bacterium. RNAcentral describes it as "partial 16S ribosomal RNA". It matches the Rfam family "Bacterial small subunit ribosomal RNA", at positions 102 to 353 of the family's 1533-position model. The record is from RNAcentral.
ACGGGUGAGUAACGCGUGGGUAACCUGCCCUGUACAGGGGGAUAACAGCUGGAAACGGCUGCUAAUACCGCAUAAGCGCACGAGGAGACAUCUCCUUGUGUGAAAAACUCCGGUGGUACAGGAUGGGCCCGCGUCUGAUUAGCUGGUUGGCAGGGUAACGGCCUACCAAGGCAACGAUCAGUAGCCGGUCUGAGAGGAUGAACGGCCACAUUGGAACUGAGACACGGCCCAGACUCCUACGGGAGGCAGCAUG